CAGUAGCCGCGGUAAUACGAAGGGUGCAAGCGUUACUCGGAAUUACUGGGCGUAAAGCGUGUGUAGGUGGUUGUUUAAGUCUGUCGUGAAAGCCCUGGGCUCAACCUGGGAAUUGCGAUGGAUACUGGGCGACUAGAGUGCGGUAGAGGAUAGUGGAAUUUCCGGUGUAGCAGUGAAAUGCGCAGAUAUCAGGAGGAACACCGAUGGCGAAGGCAGGUCUCCGGGCAUUAACUGACGCUGAGGCACGAAAGCGUGGGGAGCAAACAGGAUUAGAUACCCGCGUAGUCCCUGUCUCUUAUAC
RNAcentral lists this ribosomal RNA (301 nucleotides) under uncultured bacterium. RNAcentral describes it as "partial 16S ribosomal RNA". It matches the Rfam family "Bacterial small subunit ribosomal RNA", at positions 509 to 807 of the family's 1533-position model. The record is from RNAcentral.